GUCUUCUCCAGCUCCCAGCAAGCAGAAGCCUGGACACUGGGAGAAAGGAGUGGAAUAGGGUGCCUUGGUGCAUGUAGGAGGCCCACAGGUACAUCCGCCACUCUAAUAGGAACAGGAAGAGAGAUGUGGCAGAACUGCAGAGGGGAGCCAUGAUGCUGGGACCUGGGGUGCAAAGUGCAAAGGGCACAAGAGACGAGAGGAAACUCUGAGAGGCUUCCUGGAAGAGGCAAAGCAGAAAGACUGGGCCAAACUACCCCUGGACCAGCCCAAACAGAAGCAAAAACUAAGUCUGAUAGUCCAAGUGGCCAAACACACCCAUCCAAAGAGAUCUCUGUGUGCCGAUAUUAACAGCAGCACAAUUUCUAAUAGCCAAAACCUAGAAACAACCCAGGUGUCCAACAACAGAUGAGUGGCUGAGAAAGUUAGAAUCUAGGUACACAAUGGAAUACCACUCCACUAUUAGGAAUGAUGGAUGCACCUAAUCUUGGAUGGAGCUUGAAAGAAUCAUGUGAGUGAGAUCAUCCAGCAAGAGAAGGAUGAAUAUGGGAUGACCUCAUUCUCCUGGGCAGAACUUAAGAAACACGAAUGAACGGAAAGGGGAAACACAAGAAAAAGCUGGGACUGGGUUUGGUGUGUUGCAUCAAAGCAAAGGAAUCUGGGGAAGGAGGGGAGGUGGGAGAGGAGGUGGCUUUCAGGUCCUGAUAUACAAUGGUGGGCCUGAGUUGGGGGUGAGAGCAUCUUGCAGACACCUAUGAUGGUGAGAUAAGAAAUCGUACCCACCAACAUGGCAACCUCUCUCUGUCUCUCCAACGUCCCCUUGCUUCCUUGCUCUCAGAGCUAAGCUCCCUCUCUGGAUCCCUACAGGAAUGGCCACGUGUAAAGACCAGCUCACCACUGGACAUGAGCCCAAGAGACACCUUCUGGCCUGUCCUGUCCAAAGUCUCUAUUUCAUGAUAGAGUUAAUAGGGUUCCAGGGUCUCGCCUAAACCAAGAACCAAAACCCAGCUCUCUAGACUCUUCUGUCUACUACCCUGCCCUUGGGGGAUGGGCAGGAAGCACAGGUGCAUAUGGUGGUGACAAGACUCAAACCCAGAGAGACACAGGAACCAGGGUCUCUAUUCCAGAGCAAACAACACACAUAUAAACAGCUAUUUAGUAGCUACCACCAUGGGACAGACAGGUAGACUGUGAGCUAAUAAUGUGUUGGUGAAUGAGUUAUCUAUUGGUAUGUGAUAGAUAACUCCCGGAUUGAGUAGUUUAGAUAAAAAUAACAACAGCUUCUGACUGUCUCUGUGGACUAGGAAGCCUAGCUGCGAGAGGUUACGAUUCAGGAUCCUGUGCAAGGUUGCCAUCUAGGAUCUAGGCAUUGGUUGGGCCUGAAGCCAGCAGAGGACUGAAGAGGAGACUGAGAACUGACUGGCAGGGCAGCCCACUCCCAAGGUGGACACCACGCUCACUGGAAGCCUCAGUUCCUCCCAACUGGACCUCGGCAGAACCGCUUGAGCGCUCUCACAAGAUGGCCGCCAAGCAAUCCAAGAGAGGGUAAAGAUGGAGGCUCUUCAGGACCCUCCAAGGUCACUUCACAGUAUCUGGCUGAUAAACCAGGCCAGUCCAAUUCCAUAUGAAGGUGAGGGAGGAACCACACAAGAGCAGAAAUACCAGAGAUGGGAUCACAGAGGGACGACCUGGAACGUGGCCGCCAUGGUUGGUGAACACAGAGAUGGGGGAUGGUGUUCACCAUGAUGUUUACCACCUCCUGACUGGUCACAUGCCAGUGGGACAUGGCGGAGAACACAGGCCACAGAGAGCAAGCCAUGGAGUCACGGUGUGCCUUUAGGAGUGAUAAUAGCAGAGAAGACCCCACAGGCUCUCCCCAGACUCCUCACCACUUGUCAGCCAGGCUUCCAGUGUUGGACCAAGUUACUGAGAUUUCAGUAGCUUGGCCAACCUCCAGAAACCUCACCCCUCCUGCCCUCUCCGUGGAUCAUUUAUUCCAACAGCCUGGCUAUAAAUAUCCACUGAGUGAGACGCCUAGGUCCUUGGGCACCCUCCAUUCCAACCCCCUCCCCCCCCAUCUGCCUGCACCCUGUCCCAGCCAUGCCAGCCUGCAAUCAGUCUGCGAUCUGAGCCCACUCUGCACACCCAGCACCACCCGGCUGCCCAGGCUGGUCUGCAGGAGAGCCCUGGCAGGCCCCCAAGAUUUCUAUUGCUAGAAGGUAAAGCUUUGGAAAAGAGAGUCUUGUUUAUCUGCCUGGAUCUAGGAAGAGCAGGGCUCCACCUAAGUGGCCCUUGAGAAGAUCAGGAUGAAUGAGACCCGCCAGACACAAGAAGACAAGGAUUGCGAGACACCCUAACACAAGCAAUGCAGAGGAUUUACAUUCACAAACACAGAAAGCAAAGCAAAUCACGAUCUAGAGACGACCAGGGAACAGGAAGACUUGUGCUGAGCAGAGACAGCUUCAUGUGAAGGACCUGAAAAAGUUCUGGGUGGUGACAGUCACACAAGAAUAUCAGCAUGGGGGGGGGGGGCUGGGUGGUGGUGCACCCAGCAGAGUGCUCACCUUACCAUAAGCAAAGCACCUGGUUCAGGCCCCCGCUCCCCACCUGCAGGGGGUAAGUCUGCAGGUGUCUCUCUUUUUCUCUCCCUCUCCACCUUCCCUUCCUCUCUCAAUUUCUAUCUCUCCUACCUAAAAAAUUUUAAAAGGGAAGGAAGGAAGGAAGGAAGGAAGGAAGGAAGGAAGGAAGGAAGGAAGGAAGAGGUGGAUAAAAAAAAAAAAGGCCACUGGGACAGAUGGAUUUGUCAUGCAGGCUCCGAGCCCCAGCAAUAACCCUGGUGACAAUGAAAAUAGAAUGGAAUAAGGAAGGGGAGGGAGGGGGAGGGGGAGGGACAGAGAGAGAAAGAGAAUAUGUCAGUGCGUUUCAUGCCUCUGAAUUGGACACUUAAAAAGACUUCAAAUUGGGGCUGGGUGGUGACACACCUGGUUGAACGUACAUGUUACCAUGUGCAAGGACCGAGGUUCGAGCUCCUGGUCCCCAUCUGCAUGGGGGAAAGCUUUGCUGCAGGGCUGCAGGUGUCUCUCUGACUGUCUCCCUCUCUAUCUCCCCAUUCCCUUUCAUUUAUGGCUGUGUCUAUCCAACACACAAAGAUAAUUAAAAAAAAAAUCAUCAUAAUAUUUUUUUAAAACUUCAAAUUGCAGGCAAGGGAGAUAACAUAAUUGCCAAUGGGAUGUUAUAUAUCUUUUACCACAAUUUCAGAGAGAGGGAGAGAGAAUGAAGCCCUUAGAGUCAGUCUACCUAGCUGAGACCUUGGCCUCACCAUCUCACCUGAGCACAUAGGAAACCCAACAGGGUGGGGGUGGGGCGGUCACUUAGUUGCCACCUGUGUGACAUGGGACAGUGGUGGCCAGGGAGGUGAAUUAUCAGGGAGAGCACAGGACUGGCAUGUGUGAGGUCCCAGGUGUGAUCUCUAUGAUUGCAUAGGCUGGGGCGGUGCUUUGG
This is a long non-coding RNA of Erinaceus europaeus (western European hedgehog), 3498 nucleotides long. RefSeq lists it as uncharacterized. The transcript is spliced from 3 exons. Lineage: Eukaryota; Metazoa; Chordata; Mammalia; Eulipotyphla; Erinaceidae. The record is from RefSeq and is a predicted model, not a curated record.